CUGUGGCUUAGCUGGUAUCCAAGUUACAGGAACAAAGUCCUUUUAAUCUCCCCAUCUCCUCUUCUCAAGCAGAAGGAAGAAGUCUUUCCUGGAGCUGCAAGCUGCAUGUCCUGGGGUUGGAAGAGGAGUGAUGCAAGUACUACAUUGGCUGCUCCAGCUGGCUGGUAUCUUAAAAAAAAGGGAAAACAUCAAAGGCAAACUCAUGUGACAACCUCCUUGGAACAGAAAUUUGCCCCAAAUUUUGAAUUUACUAUCUUUCCAUUUAAGUUUCAGAAAUUAAAAAAGAG
RNAcentral lists this long non-coding RNA (287 nucleotides) under Homo sapiens (human). Its description in RNAcentral is "HSALNT0381127". The record is from RNAcentral. Lineage: Eukaryota; Metazoa; Chordata; Mammalia; Primates; Hominidae.